This 403-nucleotide ribosomal RNA is filed under the name uncultured bacterium. RNAcentral's name for it is "bacterial SSU rRNA". It matches the Rfam family "Bacterial small subunit ribosomal RNA", at positions 355 to 774 of the family's 1533-position model. The record is from RNAcentral.
UAGGGAAUAUUGCAUAAUGGGCGAAAGCCCGAUGCAGCAACGCCGCGUGGGCGAUGAAGGCCUUCGGGUCGUAAAGCCCUUUUUGAGGGGACGAGGAAGGACAGUACCCUCAGAAUAAGCCUCGGCUAACUACGUGCCAGCAGCCGCGGUAAAACGUAGGAGGCGAGCGUUAUCCGGAUUUACUGGGCGUAAAGCGCGUGCAGGCGGAUUGGGGAGUUGGAUGUGAAAGCUCCCGGCUGAACUGGGAGAGGUCGUUCAAUACUUCCAGUCUUGAGUGCAGUAGAGGGAAGUGGAAUUCCGGGUGUAGUGGUGAAAUGCGUAGAUAUCCGGAGGAACACCAGUGGCGAAAGCGGCUUCCUGGACUGUAACUGACGCUCAGACGCGAAAGCUAGGGUAGCAAACG